GCUUACGGUCAUACAACCCAGUCUGCGCCUGAUCUCGUCUGAUCUUGGAAGCUAAGCUGGGUCGGGCCUGGUUAGUA
This 77-nucleotide ribosomal RNA is filed under the name Sinocyclocheilus anshuiensis. The record is from RNAcentral. Lineage: Eukaryota; Metazoa; Chordata; Actinopteri; Cypriniformes; Cyprinidae.